Small nucleolar RNA from Dioscorea cayenensis subsp. rotundata (Guinea yam), 107 nucleotides. The record is from RefSeq and is a predicted model, not a curated record. Lineage: Eukaryota; Viridiplantae; Streptophyta; Magnoliopsida; Dioscoreales; Dioscoreaceae.
AAUCCUUGUUGUGGGCACUUCCGCAAAAGAUCCUUGAAUCGCUCCCACGUCUUAAACAAAGAUUCAAGCUCUACGUAGAAAAAUGAUGAUAUCCCAUUAUGAAGCUU